ACAUGCUUACAAGAUAGUUUUAAUGCACCAGAUCCCAUUAGAAGUCCACAGUUAAGUGGGAUCAAUCUAGAGUACUACUGGGAUGGCUGAGUGCUUGGGAAGUCCUAGUGUUUUACAUGCC
This is a non-coding RNA of Picea glauca (white spruce), 121 nucleotides long. Lineage: Eukaryota; Viridiplantae; Streptophyta; Pinopsida; Pinales; Pinaceae. The record is from Rfam.